This 252-nucleotide ribosomal RNA is filed under the name uncultured bacterium. RNAcentral describes it as "partial 16S ribosomal RNA". It matches the Rfam family "Bacterial small subunit ribosomal RNA", at positions 524 to 776 of the family's 1533-position model. The record is from RNAcentral.
UACGGAGGAUGCGAGCGUUAUCCGGAUUUAUUGGGUUUAAAGGGUGCGUAGGCGGAUUUUUAAGUCAGCGGUAAAAUGUCCGGGCUCAACCCGGGCCGGCCGUUGAAACUGGGGAUCUUGAGUGGGCGAGAAGUAUGCGGAAUGCGUGGUGUAGCGGUGAAAUGCAUAGAUAUCACGCAGAACUCCGAUUGUGAAGGCAGCAUACCGGCGCCCGACUGACGCUGAGGCACGAAAGCGUGGGGAUCGAACAGG